Molecule: ribosomal RNA, 505 nt
Filed under: uncultured bacterium
Lineage: Bacteria
Description: partial 16S ribosomal RNA
Rfam family: Bacterial small subunit ribosomal RNA
Source: RNAcentral
GACGAACGCUGGCGGCGUGCCUAAUACAUGCAAGUAGAACGCACAGUUUAUACCGUAGCUUGCUACACCAUAGACUGUGAGUUGCGAACGGGUGAGUAACGCGUAGGUAACCUGCCUGGUAGCGGGGGAUAACUAUUGGAAACGAUAGCUAAUACCGCAUAAUAUUAAUUAUUGCAUGAUAAUUAAUUGAAAGGUGCAAUUGCACCACUACCAGGUGGACCUGCGUUGUAUUAGCUAGUAGGUGAGGUAACGGCUCACCUAGGCGACGAUACAUAGCCGACCUGAGAGGGUGAUCGGCCACACUGGGAGUGAGACACGGCACAGACUCCUACGGGAGGCAGCAGUAGGGAAUCUUCGGCAAUGGACGAAAGUCUGACCGAGCAACGCCGCGUGAGUGAAGAAGGUUUUCGGAUCGUAAAGCUCUGUUGUAAGAGAAGAACGGGUGUGAGAGUGGAAAGUUCACACUGUGACGGUAUCUUACCAGAAAGGGACGGCUAACUACGUG